AGCAGCCGCGGUAAUUCCAGCUCCAAUAGCGUAUAUUAAGGUUGUUGCAGUUAAAAAGCUCGUAGUUGAAUUUCGGGAUCAAAGGAUCGGUCAUGCCUUGGUAUGUACUGGUUUUAUUGGUUCUCACCUUCUAAAGAACCAUAAUGUCAUUCAUUUGAUGUUAUGGGGAAUUAGGACUGUUACCUUGAAAAAAUUUAGAGUGUUUAAAGCAGGCUUACGCUUGAAUACAUUAGCAUGGAAUAAUGAAAUAGGACAUCAGAUUCUAUUUUGUUGGUUUCUAGGAUCGAUGUAAUGAUUAAUAGGGAUAGUUGGGGGCAUUAGUAUUCAAUCGUCAGAGGUGAAAUUCUUGGAUUUAUUGAAGACUAACUACUGCGAAAGCAUUUGCCAAGGAUGUUUUCAUUAAUCAAGAACGAAAGUUAGGGGAUCGAAGACGAUCAGAUACCGUCGUAGUCUUAACCAUAAACUAUGCCGACUAGGGAUCGGAUGAUGUUAAUUUUAUAAUGACUCA
RNAcentral lists this ribosomal RNA (508 nucleotides) under uncultured Glomus. RNAcentral's name for it is "SSU rRNA". It matches the Rfam family "Eukaryotic small subunit ribosomal RNA", at positions 569 to 1078 of the family's 1831-position model. Lineage: Eukaryota; Fungi; Glomeromycota; Glomeromycetes; Glomerales; Glomeraceae. The record is from RNAcentral.